AACUUCGGGAGAAGGGGUGCUCUAUUAGGGUGCAAGCCCGAGAGAGCCGCAGUGAAUAGGCCCAGGCGACUGUUUAGCAAAAACACAGGUCUCUGCAAAACCGUAAGGUGACGUAUAGGGGCUGACGCCUGCCCGGUGCUGGAAGGUUAAGAGGAGUGCUUAGCUUCGGCGAAGGUACGAAUUGAAGCCCCAGUAAACGGCGGCCGUAACUAUAACG
Molecule: ribosomal RNA, 217 nt
Filed under: Escherichia coli
Lineage: Bacteria; Pseudomonadati; Pseudomonadota; Gammaproteobacteria; Enterobacterales; Enterobacteriaceae
Description: partial 23S ribosomal RNA
Rfam family: Bacterial large subunit ribosomal RNA
Source: RNAcentral